This 7923-nucleotide long non-coding RNA is filed under the name Triticum aestivum (bread wheat). RNAcentral's name for it is "long non-coding RNA (TAES_LNC001850)". Lineage: Eukaryota; Viridiplantae; Streptophyta; Magnoliopsida; Poales; Poaceae. The record is from RNAcentral.
AUUAAUAUAAAUCUAAUAAGGCAAUGGGUUUACCAAAAAAAUGAGAUAAUCAUAUAGUCCAGAAUAAAGUGAAAGAUAACAGAGACGGUGGAGGCAAUGCCAGUGCUGCAGAGGUCACAAAACAGUAGCCCGAUGUGAGAUCACAUCGCAGCUGAGCUGAAGUAGAUCAAUUCAUUUAUCAAAGAAGCCGAUUACAUCCUAACUUAUCGACUUGAACACAUGAACAUGGCUCUGUAACAGGGCCCAUCAAUUGGCAUAAACACAUCGAAAGACAACCAGAGGAGGAACUUUUGCUACAAAACUUGAAGAUUCUAGUAGAUGACAACUAGGUAGUAGAACUCCUCGCCAUCCCCACCAGUCAACGCCCUGCCUUGGCCUUCCAGCACACCCUGCUAGGUGUUCUUGACUUCUAAUCCGAUUACUUCUGGUUUGCUCCUCAACACUCGGCAACGUGAAGGCCAUCUGUGAGUUUAAUUCGCAUUCGGUUGUAGGUGCUCCGACAUUGACAGAAAAACAAGAGAAAACAAGUUAUUCAUAUGGCCUGGAAAAAAAACUCUGCAAUGAACACGAAGAGAAGGGGGGAAAUCGAACCUAGUGCUCGGAUAAGUUUCAAUUAAAUCGUACAAACUAAAUAAACAUCAAAUCAUCACAGUUCACAAUAUGGAGUAUAGUAGAUCGAACCUUAAUGGCACCUCACGCAGCAAUCAGUUAAAAAUUGAUCACAAUAUUAAAUGAGCAUUACCCAGUUCAUAAAUCCCACCAAGCCUGUCACUUGAGAAAUCGUAAUCACAACCAUCAGAAAAUUGCAGGUCUCAAACAACUAAUGCUUUGAAAAUUCUAAAUCUGAAAAUGCAGAAAAUAAACAUUAUAUAACCAUGACCUACCAAUUGACAUAAUAUAAAUCUACUAAGGCAGUGGAUUUUUCUCAAAUGUUGAGAUAAUCAUAUAGGCCAGAAUCACUAGCCAAGAAGCACCUAGGCACUGCAUCCCGACCCUCACGGCCACAUCGGCUGCAGAGGUAUGAAGGGCGGUUACUCGGGUUGAAACAGUUACUGAGGAAUAGGAAGGAGGAAUAAAGUGAAAGAUAACAGAGACGGUGGAGACAAUGCCAGUGCUGCAGAGGUCACAAAACAGUAGCCCGAUGUGAGUGCACAUCACAACUCAGCUUAAGUAGAUCAAUUUAUUUAUCAAAACAAGCCGAUUACAUCCUAACUAAUCGACUUGAACACAUGAACCGGACUCUGUAACAGCCUAACAGGGCCCAUCAAUUGGCAUAAACACAUCGAAAGACAGCCAGAGGAGGAACUCUUGCUACAAAACUUGGAAGAUUCAGGUAUUUGACAACUAGGUAGAAGAACUCCUGGCCAUCCCCACCAGUCAGUGCCUCCUCUUCCCUGCCUUGGCCUUCCAGCACAUCCUGCUAGGUGUUCUUGACUUCUAAUCCGGUUACUUCUGGUUGCCUCCUCAACACUCAGCAACAUGAAGGCCAUCAGUGAGUUUAAUUCGGUUGUAUGUGCUCCGACAUUGACAGAAAAACAAGAGAAAGCAAGUUAUUCAUAUAGCCUGAAAAAAACUCUGCAAUGAACACGAAGAGAAGGGGAAAAGAUCGAACCUUCUUCAGGCGAUUUGGGACAUCACGACAGGAAGACCACGGGGAUUUGGUUGAUACGACUAGAUGACCGUCCAGUAGACCAGCUCCUCGACAGUGGGCUCCUUUUCACUCCCUUGCCGCUCCUCUGCGACAACUGCCGGAGCUGUCUCCUGGUCACGGAUGUUCUGCGCCUCCGUCACGACGAGGCAGCCGCGGUGGAAGGAAGAGGGAGAUGGGCCUCGCCGACGGCGCAGGGCGAGGCUGCGGUCCAGGAUCGCCGACGACCAACCAGCAGCCUCGGAGUCGUCGGCAAGAAGGAGAUCCGCGCAGCGAUCUCUCUUCUUCCCGGCGGGGUCGCGCAUCUGCGCCGGCUGGACGGGAUCCACGAAUGUCAGGCCAAAACAAGCCCCAGAACAUUCAGUUAUCGGACGGCCUAGGAAGGAGAUCAUCAAGACAAUGGACGGCUCGCAUCGCUCGCCGUUUUCACCUUAUUGUUGCUUUUCAUUUUCGUCCUGUGGCUUUCCAGCGUGUGCCAGCUGAGCUUAUAAAAGCCAGCCAUCCCUGUUGUAAACCUUAUGCUAUUCUGAUGAAUCAUUGAUCAAUACUCUAAAGCUAAUACAGCAUAUACUUUGAUUCCUUCCACCAAACACGUCUCUUCUAGAACUCUCCUUCCCCCAAAUCUCGAUCUAGUUUGUCCUAGGGCAUGACAAUUGGUAUCAGAUGCCAGGCUGCUCCUCGGCGUUGAGUUGAGCUGUGUAGGAGAAAUUUUUUCCCACCCUCCUCUCCCAAUUCCUACGGCGACCCGGCGGGCGGCGGGGUAGGGUGCUGGCGGCGGUAGACUUGUUCGGCGACAGCUCAGGGUCGGAACUGGUUGCCGGAACGCAUCGUUCCGGCGGUAAAAUCCCAGGUUCUCACUGAGUGGUGUUGUAGAAGGAGGCGAAUCUCGUCGGCGGCGGCAGGAGUUCAGAUCCGAUCGGGUUUCCAGUUCGCUGGUUGUAAAAUUCCUCUCGGCCACCUGGAAUCUCGAUGGGGCGUUCGAAGCCAAGCAUGGAUGACGGAGAUCUGGCGGAGUUGGUAGCCAUGAAAGGUGACGUGCUGCAAAACCGAGAAGAAACAGCGGAGCUCCGCGGCGACAUGGAGGAUUUCCGUAGGGAUGUGCACGCAAUCCACCUCAAGUAAGAUGCUAUGACCCAAGUCAUGACAGGGGUACAGGAUGCGGUCUCAGCUUUGAACACACAGCUGGCUACCAUGGCUGAUGUGCUCAAAUCCUUUUCUCCGCCUCGAAUUCCAUCCCCAGUACAGCCAGUUCCUCAACCUCGAGCUCCUCCCGAGGCACAACCAUCAGCAGGACAAGUACCAGAACAAGCGCAAACUCGACCAACUACAGAAGAAUUGCGCAAACGCCUUGCUGAGGAACAAGAGAAAACAAGACAAAUCUCGCUGCAGAUACCUCCCAACUUACCACCUAUCAGAAUUGCCAGCACCUUAGGCCCCCCAGGGUUUGUGGAUCACAACAGAAAGGAAGGGCAGUCAGGAAAUGUCACGCCCUCAGCAGCCUACCGGACAGCACACACUCCGGCCUUCCACAAUUUUCAGCCACCUGCUGUUCGUGCACACUGGGAAGACUACUACCGACAGUAUGAGCAAGAGAUGAGGACUCAGUUUCUGAAAUCUAUCACAAAAGGCCCUCGAUUGGAUUUCCCCACAUUCGAUGGUACCAAUCCUGUAGGCUGGAUCAGACAAAGUGAGAAGUUCUUCCAAAUGGCUGGCACUCCCACUGAUUACAAGGUUAACUUGGCACAAAUGCACAUCGUCGGCAAGGCUGAUGUGUGGUUGCGCAGGUCCAAUAUCCUGAAGAAGAAACCUAGUUGGGAUCAACUCUGCACUGAACUACUUCACAGGUUCUCUGCAUCCAGUUCUUAUGAUCUCACUGACAGAUUCAAUAACCUAAAACAGAACACCUCUACUGUAGCUGACUAUACUGAAUAGUUUGAAGAAAUCAUGGCUGAGGUACAGGAAGACAACCCACAAAUAUCUGAAAGUUGGUUUGUCAGGUGUUAUGUCAAUGGGUUGCGCUCCCAACUUAAGUACCAGUUCAGACCCCUCAGACCAGUCACACUCACAUAUGCCUAAUGGCUGGCAAUUGAUUUGGAACAAGGAGCACCAGCUAAAAAGCAAUUUCAGCAGUUCUCUACCUCAGCCAAACCAACUCCAGUGUUUUCCAAAAACACUACAGUAGGAACAGAGAAACCUACUGAUUUUAAAGCCCCUACCAUUACACAGAGAGCUAGAGAACCUGGGAAGUGUUGGAGAUGUGGGGACAACUAGUUCCAUGGGCACAAGUGCAAGCAAGCCCCUACAAUUAAUUUGCUUGUUGGUGAGGAAGCAGAAGAGCCACCCCCUGAUCAGGAAAUAUUAGAAGAAAUUGGUCCACCAGAUCAAGGAGCAGCUGAAGAGCAAUGUAUGAAAAUUUCAUUGCAGGCAAUGCAUGCAGAUAGUGUCAAUACACUGUCUAUUUCAGUCAAUAUUGGAGGCAAAACAGCUAUUGCAUUAGUUGACUCUGGGAGCAACUCUACCUUCAUGAGUUUGCAAUUUGCCCUCCAAACAUCCUGCACCAUUGUCAAGGAUAAAUCAAGGGCAGUAUCAGUUGCUCGAGGGGGUAAACUUUGGUCUGGCUCAUAUAUUCCAACUACAAAUUUCACAGUAGGAGAAACACAAUUCACUCAACAGUUCAGAAUUCUGGAUUUACCUGGACAUCAUAUUGUGUUGGGAUGUGAUUGGAUGGCACAACACAGCCCAAUAGCCUUCUCCUAUGACCCAAGGGAACUAAUUAUUAAGCACAACAAAACAACAACAAUGACCAUCCCUGCUUGUGAGCCAAUUACUAAUGCAGCUGAAAUAGAUUGUGUGGAACUUAACAGACUGCUUUUAAGUGGGGCUCCUGGAUAUGUGUUGCAGUUAGCAUAAGAUACAUCACUCAGUUGCAAACAAAUCAAACCUGUAGAACCAGCCUUUGAGACAGUUUUGCAAGAAUUCCCUGAAGUUUUCCAGGAACCUGUGGCUCUUCCCCCAAAGAGAGACUGUGAUCACAAGAUUCCCCUUAAACCAAACUCCGCUCCUCCAAACUAUAAACCUUACAGAGUGCCCCACAUGCAGAAAAAUGAGAUGGAAAGGCAAAUUGACCAGUUGCUGCAAUCCAAAAUAAUUAGAGAAAGUCAAAGCCCGUACUCCUCUCCUGCUAUAUUGGUCAUGAAGAAAGAUGGGACUUGGAGAUUGUGCAUUGAUUAUAGGAAAUUGAAUGCAGCCACUAUUAAGAACAAAUACCCAAUCCCUGUCAUAGAGGACCUCCUGGAUGAACUACAUGGAGCAAAGAUAUUUUCCAAACUGGACUUAAGGUCAGGAUACCAUCAAGUGAGAAUGGAUGAGCAAGACAUACCAAAAACUGCCUUCAAAACUUACUUUGGACAUUAUGAGUUUUUGGUUAUGCCAUUUGGACUGAGCAAUGCACCAGGCACUUUCCAAGCAUUGAUGAACAACAUAUUUGGUCCAUAUUUGAGAAAGUUCAUCUUGGUUUUCUUUGAUGACAUAUUAAUCUUCAGCAGAACACCUAAGGAGCAUGUUGAACAUUUGAGAAUUGUCCUCCAACUCCUAAAAGAACAUAAACUAGUAGCAAAACUCAGCAAGUGUGUUUUUGCUGUUCCCCAAGUGGACUAUCUUGGACAUAUUAUUUCUGGUGAGGGAGUACAGACAGAUCCUACCAAGAUUAGUGCAGUUGCUGACUGGCCAAUCCCUUCUACUCCCACCAAACUCAGAGGAUUCCUCGGGUUAUGUGGGUACUACAGAAGGUUUGUCCACAACUUUGGCACCAUUGCAAGGCCCCUACAUGACAUGCUCAAAAAGGAUAGUUUCCAAUGGACUUCUGCUCAAACCACUGCUUUCAAUCAACUAAAACAGGCCAUGAUUUCUGCUCCUGUCCUAGCCCUCCCAGACUUCUCUGCUCCUUUUGUCCUUGAAACUGAUGCUUCAGGCCUUGGCUUAGGAGCUGUCAUGAUGUAAAAAGGCAGGCCCUUAGCUUACUAUAGCUCUUCCCUGGGCCCUAAAAAUGCAGCCAUGUCAACAUAUGAAAAAGAAGCAUUGGCAAUCAUUGAAGCUUUGAAGAGGUGGAGGCAUUACUUCCUUGGGAAUGACCUGAUCAUCAGAACAGAUCACAGAAGCUUGUAGUUCAUGACUGAUCAGAAAUUGGCCAAUAGCAUAUAGCACAAACUCAUGUUGAAGCUGCUAGAAUUUAAUUUCCAACUGGAAUAUAAAAAAGGAAAGGACAAUCUAGUAGCAGAUGCCCUUUCAAGAAAACAUGCCUGCAUGGCCAUUUCCAUGGUCACCCCAACAUGGAUCUCAGCUGUAGAAGAGUCCUACAAGCAGGAUUCCCACUGCCAGCAGCUACUGGAACAAUUACUACUAUCUCCUGACCACACAUUCCACUAGAACCAACUGCAAGAUGGCAUUAUCAGACACAAGGGAAAAAUCUAUGUGGGCAAAGACCUGCCACUGAGGAACAGACUAAUGCAAGCCCUACACUCCUCUGCUGUGGGGGGACAUUCAGGAAUAAAUGCUUCUUAUAAUCGUUUGAAGCAAAUCUUCUAUUGGCCAGGCAUGAAAAAGGACAUGGACCAGUUUGUCACCAUUUGCCUAGUUUGUCAAAAGAACAAAGGGGAAACUUGCCCAUACCCUGGUUUUCUGGAUCCUUUACAUAUCCCAGAUAUGGUAUGGACACAUGUCAGCAUGGACUUUAUUGAAGGUCUGCCCAAGUCUGAAGGGAAAGAAGUCAUAUUCAUGGUGGUGGAUCGGCUCUCAAAAUUUGCACAUUUUAUUCCCUUGUCACAUCCUUACACAACACAAACUGUCGCAAGAGCAUUUGUGGAUAAUGUACUGAAGUUGCAUGGGCCACCGGUUGCUAUAGUUUCUGACCAUGACACCAUCUUCACCAGCAAGCUCUGGCAAGACAUCUUCUUAGCGAUGGGGAUUGACUUGCGAUACAGUUCUUCGUACCAUCUAUAGUCUGAUGGUCAAACAGAACGUGUUAACCAAUGUAUUGAGAAUUAUCUUCGCUGCAUGACUUCUACUGCACCAAAAAAAUGGAUCAAGCACCUUGCUAUGGCUGAAUAUUGGUACAACACCUCAUUUCAUUCCUCACUGAAGAAGACGCCGUUCCAAGCUCUGUACGGCUACCCUCCUCCAGAUAUCAACCCACCCUUGCCCUCCCUAAGUGCUACUACUGAAGCAGCAUCUUUUCUGUCUGAGAGAAAUUCCAUGUGGCAGCAAUUGAAAGCUAACCUGACAGCAGCCCAAGCUCGCACGAAAAAGUAUGCAGACAGAAAACGAUCAGAAAGAACCUUGGAAGUGGGCGACAUGGUCUACCUGAAGAUGCAACCAUACCGUCUCGAUGCCUUCGGUUUGCACACCCACAUCAAGCUGCAGAGCAAGUUCUACGGUCCAUUUCGCAUCAUCAAACGAGUGGGCAACGUAGCCUACAAACUCCUUCUUCCAAGCUCCUCCACCAUCCACCCGGUGUUUCAUGUAAGUCAGCUUAAGAAGCACAUUGGGCCACAAGCUAUUCCAUGCGCUGAUCUACCUCUGGUUAGUCAAGACGGCACGAUCCGUACCGAGCCAAUCCAUGUCCUGGAGACAAGACAAAUUCCCCGCAACAAUCUUCCCGUGGUUCAAUGGCUCGUCCAGUGGGAGAAUUUACCUCUCGAUGAUGCUUCCUGGGAAGACGCUGAUUUCAUCAAGAGCACAUUUUCGGCUUUCUUCAAGCAGACAGUGCAAGCUUGGUUCAGUAAGCAACCUCCUUGAGGACAAGUUCGAUUUCAGAGGGAGGCAUUAUCAGGCCACAACAAGCCCCAGAACAUUCAGUUAUCGGACGGCCUAGGAAGGAGAUCAUCAAGACAAUGGAUGGCUCGCAUCGCUCGCCGUUUUCACCUUAUUGUUGCUUUUCAUUUUCGUCCUGUCGCUUUCCAGCGUGUGCCAGCUGAGCUUAUAAAAGCCAGCCAUCCCUAUUGUAAACCUUAUGCUAUUCUAAUGAAUCAUUGAUCAAUACUCUAAAGCUAAUACAACAUAUACUUUGAUUCCUUCCACCAAACACGUCUCUUCUAGAACUCUCCUUCCCCCAAAUCUCGAUCUAGUUUGUCCUAGGGCAUGACAACAAAGGUGAAAGAUCCGUUCAUGACGAGCAUGGCGCUCGCGCCCUGCAGCGGGAUCUCGACGGAGGACAUAGCGGCGGCUGUGGAAAUCGAUCGAAAACCUAAAUCUGGCUUGGAGCAGCGAGAGCGCGGGAG